UGGGGAAUUUUGCGCAAUGGGGGAAACCCUGACGCAGCAACGCCGCGUGAGUGAUGAAGGCCUUCGGGUCGUAAAGCUCUGUCAGAGGGGAAGAAGUGUGAGGUGGCUAAUAUCCAUUUCACUUGACGGUACCUUCAAAGGAAGCACCGGCUAACUCCGUGCCAGCAGCCGCGGUAAUACGGAGGGUGCAAGCGUUAAUCGGAAUCACUGGGCGUAAAGCGCUCGUAGGCGGUUUGGUCAGUCAGAUGUGAAAGCCCUCGGCUUAACCGGGGAACUGCAUUUGAUACUGCCAGACUUGAGUGUCGGAGAGGGUGGCGGAAUUCCGGGUGUAGGAGUGAAAUCCGUAGAUAUCCGGAGGAACACCAGUGGCGAAGGCGGCCACCUGGACGACAACUGACGCUG
This 402-nucleotide ribosomal RNA is filed under the name uncultured bacterium. Its description in RNAcentral is "bacterial SSU rRNA". It matches the Rfam family "Bacterial small subunit ribosomal RNA", at positions 355 to 748 of the family's 1533-position model. The record is from RNAcentral.